AAUGAACGCUGGCGGCAUGCCUAACACAUGCAAGUCGAACGAAGGCUUCGGCCUUAGUGGCGCACGGGUGCGUAACGCGUGGGAAUCUGCCCUCAGGUUCGGAAUAACAGCGAGAAAUUGCUGCUAAUACCGGAUGAUAUCGCGAGAUCAAAGAUUUAUCGCCUGAGGAUGAGCCCGCGUAGGAUUAGCUAGUUGGUGUGGUAAAGGCGCACCAAGGCGACGAUCCUUAGCUGGUCUGAGAGGAUGAUCAGCCACACUGGGACUGAGACACGGCCCAGACUCCUACGGGAGGCAGCAGUGGGGAAUAUUGGACAAUGGGCGAAAGCCUGAUCCAGCAAUGCCGCGUGAAUGAUGAAGGCCUUAGGGUUGUAAAGCUCUUUUACCCGGGAUGAUAAUGACAGUACCGGGAGGAUAAGCUCCGGCUAACUCCGUGCCAGCCGCCGCAGUAA
This 449-nucleotide ribosomal RNA is filed under the name uncultured bacterium. RNAcentral describes it as "partial 16S ribosomal RNA". It matches the Rfam family "Bacterial small subunit ribosomal RNA", at positions 29 to 523 of the family's 1533-position model. The record is from RNAcentral.